CCAAUUGUCGGCUCAAUACCCGCAACUACAUCUACACCGUCGAAUUCCGUAUCGGUUAGAUAGAGUAACUCACGUCGAGGCGCCACGUUGCCUUGCCGGACAUCAUGGUCUAGCCCGGGUCGCCGCGACGAUGAUGCGGCGUCAGGGGUCGUGACGACAUGGAUAAUGCUGACUCGGGCAGGGUUCCCGUCAUUGCGUGUGUGAAGGACUCUUGGCGGUUCACGUUCGCCAACGCUCGCACGGUCGCGCC
RNAcentral lists this ribosomal RNA (250 nucleotides) under uncultured archaeon. RNAcentral's name for it is "partial 16S ribosomal RNA". The record is from RNAcentral.